AUUGCAUGGUAAGAGGGUGUUUAGUUUUGUAAAAAUCUGCCAAGCUGUCUUUCAAAGUAGCUGUACCAUUUGGUAUUCCACCAGCAAU
Molecule: microRNA precursor, 88 nt
Filed under: Mustela putorius furo (domestic ferret)
Lineage: Eukaryota; Metazoa; Chordata; Mammalia; Carnivora; Mustelidae
Description: miRNA (ENSMPUG00000021987.1)
Source: RNAcentral